AUUGAACGCUGGCGGCAGGCCUAACACAUGCAAGUCGAAUGGUAACAGGAAACAGCUUGCUGUUUCGCUGACGAGUGGCGGACGGGUGAGUAAUGUCUGGGAAACUGCCUGAUGGAGGGGGAUAACUACUGGAAACGGUAGCUAAUACCGCAUAACGUCGCAAAACCAAAGAGGGGGACCUUCGGGCCUCUUGCCAUCAGAUGUGCCCAGAUGGGAUUAGCUAGUAGGUGGGGUAACGGCUCACCUAGGCGACGAUCCCUAGCUGGUCUGAGAGGAUGACCAGCCACACUGGAACUGAGACACGGUCCAGACCCCUACGGGAGGCAGCAGUGGGGAAUAUUGCACAAUGGGCGCAAGCCUGAUGCAGCCAUGCCGCGUGUAUGAAGAAGGCCUUCGGGUUGUAAAGUACUUUCAGCGGGGAGGAAGGGAGUAAAGUUAAUACCUUUGCUCAUUGACGUUACCCGCAGAAGAAGCACCGGCUAACUCCGUG
RNAcentral lists this ribosomal RNA (490 nucleotides) under uncultured bacterium. RNAcentral's name for it is "partial 16S ribosomal RNA". It matches the Rfam family "Bacterial small subunit ribosomal RNA", at positions 30 to 507 of the family's 1533-position model. The record is from RNAcentral.